This 552-nucleotide ribosomal RNA is filed under the name uncultured bacterium. Its description in RNAcentral is "partial 16S ribosomal RNA". It matches the Rfam family "Bacterial small subunit ribosomal RNA", at positions 355 to 900 of the family's 1533-position model. The record is from RNAcentral.
UAGGGAAUCUUCGGCAAUGGGGGCAACCCUGACCGAGCAACGCCGCGUGAGUGAAGAAGGUUUUCGGAUCGUAAAGCUCUGUUGUAAGUCAAGAACGGGUGUGAGAGUGGAAAGUUCACACUGUGACGGUAGCUUACCAGAAAGGGACGGCUAACUACGUGCCAGCAGCCGCGGUAAUACGUAGGUCCCGAGCGUUGUCCGGAUUUAUUGGGCGUAAAGCGAGCGCAGGCGGUUUGAUAAGUCUGAAGUUAAAGGCUGUGGCUCAACCAUAGUUCGCUUGGAACUGUCAAACUUGAGUGCAGAAGGGGAGAGUGGAAUUCCAUGUGUAGCGGUGAAAUGCGUAGAUAUAUGGAGGAACACCGGUGGCGAAAGCGGCUCUCUGGUCUGUAACUGACGCUGAGGCUCGAAAGCGUGGGGAGCGAACAGGAUUAGAUACCCUGGUAGUCCACGCCGUAAACGAUGAGUGCUAGGUGUUGGAUCCUUUCCGGGAUUCAGUGCCGCAGCUAACGCAUUAAGCACUCCGCCUGGGGAGUACGACCGCAAGGUUGAAAC